AGGUGACCAAGAAUUUGAAAGAUAUUCAAGGACCUGCCUUAGCUAUUGUUCUUGAACGACUAAAGCACUCUGGGGCUUUUCAAGAAACAUUUGAAGUGGCUAAAACAAUAUCGAUGGGGCCAUCAUUGAAAAGUGGAUCAAAAGUUGGGAAAUCUAGCUCUAAUGGUAAUGGUGACCGACGGGCUGGAAAUAGGGCUGUUUCUUCGAGAGUAACUUCAAUUAAGGGUUCAAGGCCAGAAUCAAUCAUGUCU
Molecule: long non-coding RNA, 251 nt
Organism: Camellia sinensis
Lineage: Eukaryota; Viridiplantae; Streptophyta; Magnoliopsida; Ericales; Theaceae
Source: RefSeq, a predicted model, not a curated record